ACUCAAAUGAAUUGACGGGGGCCCGCACAAGCGGUGGAGCAUGGGCAUUAAUUCGUCACUAACCGAAGAACCUUACCCAGGCUUGACAUCCACGGCAAGUCCGUGAAAGCGGUACCCCUCGCUCGAAAGAGCGAGCCGUGAGACAGGUGUUGCAUGGCUGUCGUCAGCUCGUGUCGUGAGAUGUUGGGUUAAGUCCCGCAACGAGCGCAACCCUCACUCCAUGUUGCCAGCGUCCAGUCGGGCACUCUUGGAGAACUGCCCGGGUAACCGGGAGGAAGGUGGGGAUGACGUCAAGUCGGCAUGGCCCUUACGCCUGGGGCUUGACCCAUGCUACAAUGGGCGCCACAGAGGGAUGCAAGACCGCGAGGUGGAGCCAAUCCCAGAAAAGCGCUCUCAGUUCGGAUUGCAGGCUGCAACUCGCCUGCAUGAAGUCGGAAUCGCUAGUAACCGCCGGUCAGCUAAACGGCGGUGAAUACGUUCCCGGGCCUUGUACACACCGCCCGU
RNAcentral lists this ribosomal RNA (504 nucleotides) under uncultured bacterium. Its description in RNAcentral is "partial 16S ribosomal RNA". It matches the Rfam family "Bacterial small subunit ribosomal RNA", at positions 899 to 1397 of the family's 1533-position model. The record is from RNAcentral.